RNAcentral lists this ribosomal RNA (447 nucleotides) under uncultured bacterium. RNAcentral's name for it is "SSU rRNA". It matches the Rfam family "Bacterial small subunit ribosomal RNA", at positions 26 to 518 of the family's 1533-position model. The record is from RNAcentral.
AGAGCGAACGCUGGCGGCAGGCCUAAUACAUGCAAGUCGAACGGAUCCUUCGGGAUUAGUGGCGGACGGGUGAGUAACACGUGGGAACGUACCCUUUGGUUCGGAACAACUCAGGGAAACUUGAGCUAAUACCGAAUGUGCCCUUCGGGGAAAAGAUUUAUCGCCAUUGGAGCGGCCCGCGUCUGAUUAGCUAGUUGGUAGGGUAAAGGCCUACCAAGGCUACGAUCAGUAGCUGGUCUGAGAGGAUGAUCAGCCACACUGGGACUGAGACACGGCCCAGACUCCUACGGGAGGCAGCAGUAGGGAAUCUUGCGCAAUGGGCGAAAGCCUGACGCAGCCAUGCCGCGUGAAUGAUGAAGGUCUUAGGAUUGUAAAAUUCUUUCAGCGGGGACGAUAAUGACGGUACCCGCAGAAGAACGCCCCGGCUAACUUCGCGCCAGCAGCCGC